UACAGAGGGGGCAAGCGUUGUUCGGAAUUACUGGGCGUAAAGCGCGUGUAGGCGGUUUGUCGCGUCUGCUGUGAAAACUCGGGGCUUAACUCCGGGCCUGCAGUGGGUACGGGCAGACUAGAGUGCGGUAGGGGAGACUGGAAUUCCUGGUGUAGCGGUGAAAUGCGCAGAUAUCAGGAGGAACACCGGUGGCGAAGGCGGGUCUCUGGGCCGUAACUGGACGCUGAGGAGCGAAAGCGUGGGGAGCGAACAGG
RNAcentral lists this ribosomal RNA (254 nucleotides) under uncultured bacterium. RNAcentral describes it as "partial 16S ribosomal RNA". It matches the Rfam family "Bacterial small subunit ribosomal RNA", at positions 524 to 776 of the family's 1533-position model. The record is from RNAcentral.